AGAGUUUGAUCCUGGCUCAGAUUGAACGCUGGCGGCAUGCCUUACACAUGCAAGUCGAACGGCAGCACGGGAGCAAUCCUGGUGGCGAGUGGCGAACGGGUGAGUAAUAUAUCGGAACGUGCCCAGUCGUGGGGGAUAACGCAGCGAAAGCUGUGCUAAUACCGCAUACGAUCUCUGGAUGAAAGCGGGGGACUCAGCAAUGAGCCUCGCGCGAUUGGAGCGGCCGAUAUCAGAUUAGCUAGUUGGUGGGGUAAAAGCUCACCAAGGCGACGAUCUGUAGCUGGUCUGAGAGGACGACCAGCCACACUGGAACUGAGACACGGUCCAGACUCCUACGGGAGGCAGCAGUGGGGAAUUUUGGACAAUGGGCGAAAGCCUGAUCCAGCAAUGCCGCGUGCAGGAUGAAGGCCUUCGGGUUGUAAACUGCUUUUGUACGGAGCGAAAAGGUUCUCUUUAAUAAAGAGAGCUCAUGACGGUACCGUAAGAAUAAGCACCGGCUAACUACGUGCCAGCAGCCGCGGUAAUACGUAGGGUGCGAGCGUUAAUCGGAAUUACUGGGCGUAAAGCGUGCGCAGGCGGUUUUGUAAGUCAGAUGUGAAAUCCCCGGGCUCAACCUGGGAACUGCAUUUGAGACUGCAAGGCUAGAGUGUGGCAGAGGGGGGUAGAAUUCCACGUGUAGCAGUGAAAUGCGUAGAGAUGUGGAGGAAUACCGAUGGCGAAGGCAGCCCCCUGGGCCAAUACUGACGCUCAUGCACGAAAGCGUGGGGAGCAAACAGGAUUAGAUACCCUGGUAGUCCACGCCCUAAACGAUGUCAACUAGGUGUUGGAAGGGUUAAACCUUUUAGUGCCGCAGCUAACGCGUGAAGUUGACCGCCUGGGAGUACGGCCGCAAGGCUAAACUCAAGGAUUGACG
This 913-nucleotide ribosomal RNA is filed under the name uncultured bacterium. Its description in RNAcentral is "bacterial SSU rRNA". It matches the Rfam family "Bacterial small subunit ribosomal RNA", at positions 8 to 915 of the family's 1533-position model. The record is from RNAcentral.